UCCCUCUUAGCUCAGUUGGUAGAGCGCGUCACUAGUAUCACGAACCAAAAUUGCGCAAUGACGAGGUCAGUCGUUCGAGUCGUCUAGAGGGAA
Non-coding RNA from Dendrothele bispora CBS 962.96, 93 nucleotides. The record is from the annotation of a GenBank genome assembly. Lineage: Eukaryota; Fungi; Basidiomycota; Agaricomycetes; Agaricales.